RNAcentral lists this ribosomal RNA (1206 nucleotides) under metagenome. RNAcentral describes it as "bacterial SSU rRNA". It matches the Rfam family "Archaeal small subunit ribosomal RNA", at positions 229 to 1445 of the family's 1478-position model. The record is from RNAcentral.
GUAGUUGGUGAGGCAAUGGCUCACCAAGCCUUUUACCGGUGCGGGCCGUGAGAGCGGGAGCCCGGAGAUGGGCACUGAGACAAGGGCCCAGGCCCCACGGGGCGCAGCAGUCGCGAAAACUUUGCAAUACACGAAAGUGUGACAGGGCUAUCCCGAGUGCCAUCCGCUGAGGAAGGCUUUUACCCAGUAUAAAUAGCUGGGAGAAUAAGGAGAGGGCAAGUCUGGUGUCAGCCGCCGCGGUAAUACCAGCUCUCCGAGUAGUGUGGACGUUUAUUGGGCCUAAAGCAUCCCUAGCUUGCUAGAUAAGUCCUCUGUUAAAUCCACCGAUUCAAUCGUUGGAUAGCGGGGGAUACUGUUUGGCUAGGGGACGGGAGAGGUCGACGGUAUUUCCGGGGUAGGGGUGAAAUCCUAUAAUCCCGGGAAGACCACCAGUGGCGAAGGCUGUCGACUAGAACGCGCCCGACGGUGAGGGAUGAAAGCUGGGGGAGCGAACCGGAUUAGAUACCCGGGUAGUCCCAGCUGUAAACGAUGCAGGCUAGGUGUUUGGGCGGCCACGAGCCGCCCUAGUGCCGCAGGGAAGCUGUUAAGCCUGCCGCCUGGGGAGUACGGCCGCAAGGCUGAAACUUAAAGGAAUUGGCGGGGGAGCACCACAAGGGGUGAAGCUUGCGGUUUAAUUGGAGCAACGCCGGAAAUCUCACCGGGAUCGACAGCAGUAUGAAGGCCAGAUUAAAGGUCUUGCUAGACGAGCUGAGAGGAGGUGCAUGGCCGUCGCCAGUUCGUGCCGUGGGGUGUCCUGUUAAGUCAGGCAACGAUCGAGACCCGCGUCCUCUGUUGCUACUGGUUUUGUGCCAGGCACACUGAGGAGACCGCCGCUGAUAAAGCGGAGGAAGGAGCGGGCCACGGCAGGUCAGUAUGCCCCGAAUAUCCCGGGCCACACGCGAGCUGCAAUGGCAGGUACAAUGGGUUCCGACCUCGUAAGGGGAAGGCAAUCUCGAAAGCCUGCCGUAGUUGGGAUCGAGGGUUGAAACUCACCCUCGUGAACAUGGAAUCCCAAGUAAUCGCGUGUCACUAGCGCGCGGUGAAUACGUCCCUGCUCCUUGCACACACCGCCCGUCGUUCCACCCGAGCGACUCCUGGGUGAGGCGUGGUCUUCCUUGGCUGCGUCGAAUCUGGGUUUCGCAAGGGGGGAAAAGUCGUAACAAGGUG